Molecule: unclassified non-coding RNA, 300 nt
Filed under: uncultured fungus
Lineage: Eukaryota; Fungi
Description: sequence contains 5.8S rRNA gene, ITS2
Rfam family: 5.8S ribosomal RNA (bases 1-71)
Source: RNAcentral
GUGAAUCAUCGAAUCUUUGAACGCAACUUGCGCUCCUGGGUAUUCCUGGGAGCAUGCCUGUUUCAGUAUCGUAUAACCAAAAUAUUCAUUCGAAAGUUUGAACAGCUCUUUAAAAAGCUCUUGAGCGACCUGAUGCUUUAUGUAUCAGCUGCUUUAAAUUUAAAAUCUAAGACUUUUUCUUUGGAUAAAGGCUCUGGUGUAAUAUGAAACUUGUUUCAAAUCAACACCUCUAUCUUUAUCUACCAGACGAGUCGCUAAUAAAUUCAUGAUCUGAAAUCAGGCAAGAUUACCCGCUGAACU